Molecule: long non-coding RNA, 241 nt
Organism: Neofelis nebulosa (Clouded leopard)
Lineage: Eukaryota; Metazoa; Chordata; Mammalia; Carnivora; Felidae
Exons: 2
Source: RefSeq, a predicted model, not a curated record
ACAAAUAUAGUCUCUUUAUUCACCCAGCUUAGUGGAGGGAAGAAAUACUUUAAAAAUGCAUAAAUACUACAACAGGGGAGGCCAUUGGAGUUCCCGGGAAAAUGCUAAUAAACAUUACACAUGAAUCAUGAAUGUUGGUGGAUGAUGAUGGCACUUUAUGCAGAGAUGAAGAAAGAUAUUAGAAUUGUUUACCUGGGGAUAUGAUAUAGAAGAAAUCUUUAAAUUCAUCCAUCCAAACUUC